RNAcentral lists this ribosomal RNA (710 nucleotides) under Faecalibacterium prausnitzii. RNAcentral's name for it is "bacterial SSU rRNA". It matches the Rfam family "Bacterial small subunit ribosomal RNA", at positions 426 to 1162 of the family's 1533-position model. The record is from RNAcentral. Lineage: Bacteria; Bacillati; Bacillota; Clostridia; Eubacteriales; Oscillospiraceae.
UAAACUCCUGUUGUUGAGGAAGAUAAUGACGGUACUCAACAAGGAAGUGACGGCUAACUACGUGCCAGCAGCCGCGGUAAAACGUAGGUCACAAGCGUUGUCCGGAAUUACUGGGUGUAAAGGGAGCGCAGGCGGGAAGACAAGUUGGAAGUGAAAUCCAUGGGCUCAACCCAUGAACUGCUUUCAAAACUGUUUUUCUUGAGUAGUGCAGAGGUAGGCGGAAUUCCCGGUGUAGCGGUGGAAUGCGUAGAUAUCGGGAGGAACACCAGUGGCGAAGGCGGCCUACUGGGCACCAACUGACGCUGAGGCUCGAAAGUGUGGGUAGCAAACAGGAUUAGAUACCCUGGUAGUCCACACCGUAAACGAUGAUUACUAGGUGUUGGAGGAUUGACCCCUUCAGUGCCGCAGUUAACACAAUAAGUAAUCCACCUGGGGAGUACGACCGCAAGGUUGAAACUCAAAGGAAUUGACGGGGGCCCGCACAAGCAGUGGAGUAUGUGGUUUAAUUCGACGCAACGCGAAGAACCUUACCAAGUCUUGACAUCCCUUGACGAUGCUGGAAACAGUAUUUCUCUUCGGAGCAAGGAGACAGGUGGUGCAUGGUUGUCGUCAGCUCGUGUCGUGAGAUGUUGGGUUAAGUCCCGCAACGAGCGCAACCCUUAUGGUCAGUUACUACGCAAGAGGACUCUGGCCAGACUGCCGUUGACAAA